AGUGAACGCUGGCGGUAGGCCUAACACAUGCAAGUCGAACGGCAGCACAGUAAGAGCUUGCUCUUACGGGUGGCGAGUGGCGGACGGGUGAGGAAUACAUCGGAAUCUACUUUUUCGUGGGGGAUAACGUAGGGAAACUUACGCUAAUACCGCAUCUGACCUACGGGUAAAAGCAGGGGAUCUUCGCACCUGUCGCGAUUGAACGAGCCGAUGUCGGAUUAGCUAGUUGGCGGGGUAAAGGCCCACCACGUCGACGAUCCGAAGCUGCUCUGAGAGGCUGAUAAGCUACCCGGGAACUGAGACACGGUCCAGACUCCUGCGGGAGGCAGCAGUGGGGAAUAUUGGACGAGGGGCGCAAGCCUGAUCCAGCCAUACCGCGGGAGUGAAGAAGGCCUUCGGGUUGUAAAGCCCUGUUGUUGGGAGAGAAAAGCAGCAGGUUAAUACCCCGCUGUUCUGACGGUACCGAAAGAAUAAGCACCGGCUAACUUCGUG
RNAcentral lists this ribosomal RNA (492 nucleotides) under uncultured bacterium. RNAcentral's name for it is "partial 16S ribosomal RNA". It matches the Rfam family "Bacterial small subunit ribosomal RNA", at positions 29 to 507 of the family's 1533-position model. The record is from RNAcentral.